CACGUAGGGCGCAAGCGUUGUCCGGAAUUAUUGGGCGUAAAGAGCUCAGAUGAGCGGUCUGUUGCGUCCGCUGUGAAAACUCGGGGCUUAACCCCGAGCCUGCAGUGGAUACGGGCAGACUAGAGGUAGGUAGGGGAGAAUGGAAUUCCCGGUGUAGCGGUGAAAUGCGCAGAUAUCGGGAGGAACACCGGUGGCGAAGGCGGUUCUCUGGGCCUUACCUGACGCUGAGGAGCGAAAGCGUGGGGAGCGAACAGG
RNAcentral lists this ribosomal RNA (255 nucleotides) under uncultured bacterium. RNAcentral describes it as "partial 16S ribosomal RNA". It matches the Rfam family "Bacterial small subunit ribosomal RNA", at positions 524 to 776 of the family's 1533-position model. The record is from RNAcentral.